ACUAAAAUGUAUGUUUAAAUUAGAAUUCGGUCAUGGAAAAAGUUUUAAACUGCUCCUUAACCAACGCGAUUUAUUCUCUGUAACGGCGAUUGUUUCGCAUGACCAUGUCGCCAGGUCAACACGAAGCCGCGGCAAAUGAACAUACCCAGACCGACGCGAAAGUAUCGCUACACCCACGGUUUUUGUCGUUGUCACCUGACAGUUGAAAAAGUCGGUUUGGGCACGUUUGUGCAUGUUCAUUUGCCGCCGUGUCGACUUGGCGACAACAUUAUCAAGCGUAACAAUCGCCGUCGCAGCGAAUACAUCGCGUUGGUUAAGGAAUAACUUUAUGUCAAUAUAAUAUUCUUCGAUAAAUUUAAAAAUAACUAAACCUAGUGGUGAUAUAUAAAAAAACUUAUACGAAACUUACCUGCGCCAUUCUAAACCAAUAUUCGAGCCACAGAACAGAUAUAUAGAAAACGAUUCGAAGGAACUGAGAACAGAACUGAACAGAACAAAACACACAAUAGAACAAGUCGUGACAAGACGCUGAUGAGUCACCGCGUCCUAGAACAUGCGCAUACGUUCACAGGCGCUGAUGAAGAUAUUCAGACAUGUUUCAGACACAUUUGUAGAGAAAUGUUUCAAAUGAAAUGUUUCUGCUACAUAUUUUAAUGAUAUUUCAUAAAUAUUCCUACUGAAAUGUAUUUGAUACAUAUCUUUAGAUACGUUUCGUAACAAUCGUAUCUGUCACGUAUAUGAAACGUACUUGUAAAAUGUUUCAUUUAAUUCAUUGUACGUUAAAAUUGAAAUGUUUCACAGAUGUUUCUUGUUUACUGGGCAGCAGAGUGAAUAUUUGGGCCAAAUGGUCUGAUAGAUGCGGUUGAGUUGUUUCAGUAUUAUAAUCCGUUAUGAGAGAAUUAAUAAAAAAUUGAUCAAUA
Onthophagus taurus is the source of this 920-nucleotide non-coding RNA. The record is from RefSeq and is a predicted model, not a curated record. Lineage: Eukaryota; Metazoa; Arthropoda; Insecta; Coleoptera; Scarabaeidae.